Photobacterium halotolerans is the source of this 116-nucleotide regulatory RNA element. The record is from Rfam. NCBI's taxonomy places the organism in Bacteria, Pseudomonadati, Pseudomonadota, Gammaproteobacteria, Vibrionales, Vibrionaceae.
UGAACCUUAUCGGCACCACCACCAUUAUUAUUACCGGCACAAACAGUGUUGGGGCGGGCUGAUACGCGCAAGAUUUCAAAAAAAAGCCCGCACCUCACAGUGCGGGCUUUUUUUUC